UUAGACAAUUAAAACCAAUCCUUCUGAAACUCUUCCAAAAAAUUGAAAAGGAAGGAGAUCUUCCGAACUAAUUUUACAAAGGCCUGAUACCAAAGGCAGACAAAAACAGUACAAGAAAAGCAAAUUAUAGGCCAAUAUCCUUGAUAAACAUAGAUGCAGAAAUCCUCAAGAAAAUACUAGCAAACCAAAUUCAACAGCAUAUUAGAAGGGUCAUUCACCAUGAUCAAGUGGGAUUUAUCCCUGUGAAUUUGCAUAUUCACCAUAUGCAAAUCAGCAGUGAUACACCAUAUUAACAGAAUAAAGGACAAAAACUUUAUAAUUAUCUCAAUAGAUACAAAAAAGGCAUUCAACAAAAUUCAGCAUCCUUUCAUGAUAGAAACACUCAACAAAUUAGGUAGAGAAAGAAUGUCUCUCAACAUAGUAAAGGCCUUAUAUGACAAGCCCAUAGCUAACAUAAUGCUCAGUGAAAAGUUGAAAGUUUUUUCUGAAAUCAGGAACAAGACAAGUAUGCCCACUUUCAGCAUUUCCAUUCAACACAGUAUUGGAAGUCCUAGCCAGAAUAAUUAGGCAAGAGAAAGAAAAGGCUUUCAGAUUGUCAGUGAAGAAGUUAAAUCGUCCGUUCGCAGAUAACAUGAUUUUAUAUUUAGAAAACUCUAAAGACUCCACCAAAAAACUAUUACAAGUAAUAAAUUCAGUAAAGUUGCAGGAUACAAAAUUAACACAAAAAUCAGUAGUGGUCAGACAUGGUGGUUUAUACCUGUAAUCCCAGGACUUUGGGAGGCUGAGGUGGGAGGAUCACUGGAGGACAGGAGUUUGAGACCAGCCUGGACAACAUAGUGAGAUGCCCAUCUCUACAAAAAAGAAAAAAAUUAGCCAGGUGUGGUGGCACGACCUGUAGUCCUAGCUACUUGGGAGCCUGAGGUGGGAAGAUUGCUUGAGCCCAGGAGUUUGAGGUUACAGUGAGCCAUGAUCAUGCCAUUGCACUCCAGCCUGAGUAACAGAGUAAGACUCCACUUCCAAAAAAAGAAAAAAAAAAAUCAGUAGCAUUUCUACAUACUAACAACAAACUAUCUGAUAAAUCUGGCCAGGUGCAGUCCCUCACGCCUGUAAUCCCAGCACUUUGGGAGGCCAAGGUGGGAGGAUCACUUGAGGUCAAGAGUUUGAGACCAGCCUGGCCAACAUGGUGACACCCCAUCUCUAGUAAAAAUACAAAAAUUAGCCAGGCAUGGUGUCAUGCACCUGUAAUCCCAGCUACUCAGGAGACUGAGGCAGGAGAAUUGUUUGAACUUGGGAGGUGGAGGCUGCAGCAGCACUGCACUCCAGCCUAGGCAACAGAGCAAGACUCCAUCUCAAAAAAAAAAAAAAAAAAAAAAAAAA
RNAcentral lists this long non-coding RNA (1377 nucleotides) under Macaca fascicularis (crab-eating macaque). Its description in RNAcentral is "lncRNA (ENSMFAG00000053439.1)". The record is from RNAcentral. Lineage: Eukaryota; Metazoa; Chordata; Mammalia; Primates; Cercopithecidae.